Molecule: ribosomal RNA, 815 nt
Filed under: uncultured bacterium
Lineage: Bacteria
Description: bacterial SSU rRNA
Rfam family: Bacterial small subunit ribosomal RNA
Source: RNAcentral
AGAGUUUGAUCCUGGCUCAGAACGAACGCUGGCGGCGUGGAUAAGACAUGCAAGUCGAGCGCUGAUUGUCGGGUAGCAAUAUUCGGCAGUCGGAGCGGCGCAAGGGUGCGUAACACGUGGGUAAUCUGCCAUGAAGUUUGGAAUAACUUGCUGAAAGGCGAGCUAAUACCGGAUGUGACCGUUGGGAGGCCUCUCCCGAUAGUUAAAGCUGGGGACCGUAAGGCCUGGCGCUUCUUGAUGAACCCGCGGCCUAUCAGCUAGUUGGUGAGGUAACGGCCCACCAAGGCUAAGACGGGUAGCUGGUCUGAGAGGACGACCAGCCACACUGGAACUGAGACACGGUCCAGACACCUACGGGUGGCAGCAGUCGAGAAUUUUUCACAAUGGGCGCAAGCCUGAUGGAGCGACGCCGCGUGGGGGAUGAAUGGCUUCGGCCCGUAAACCCCUGUCAUUUGCGAUCAAACCUCGGUAUUUAAAAGAUGCCGAGCUGAUAGUAGCGAAAGAGGAAGGGACGGCUAACUCUGUGCCAGCAGCCGCGGUAAUACAGAGGUCCCGAGCGUUGUUCGGAUUCACUGGGCGUAAAGGGUGCGUAGGUGGUGAGGUAAGUCGGAUGUGAAAUCUCGGAGCUUAACUCCGAAACUGCAUUGGAAACUACCUCGCUAGAGGGUUGGAGGGGGGACUGGAAUGCUUGGUGUAGCAGUGAAAUGCGUAGAUAUCAAGCGGAACACCAGUGGCGAAGGCGAGUCCCUGGACAACUCCUGACACUGAGGCACGAAAGCUAGGGGAGCAAACAGGAUUAGAUACCCCCGUAGUCC